UAAAAGCUAUUAUUUUUAGUACACCCUGCUCAAUGAAACUUAAAUAGCCGCAAAAUUUGUGCUAAGGUAGCAUAAUCAUUUGCCUAAUAAUUAUAGGAUAGUAUGAAAGGGAUAACAUGUAAUAAACUUUAUUAAGAAAAGUAUUUAAAUUUAAAAAGUAAGCAACAAUUCUUACACAACCAGGGGGACGAUAAGACCCUGUCAAACUUCACCGCUAGGUUUAGCUGGGGCGGCAGAAAAUUAAAACUUUACCUUAAUACCAAAAGCAAAACCUGUAUAGCAGAUAUUACAAGUUACUGCAGGGAUAACAGCACUAUCGUCUUUUAAAGAUCUUAUAAAAAGGAUGGCUUGUGACCUCGAUGUUGAAUUAAAGAUCUCUUUGAGGCAACCCUCAAAGAAGAAAGUCUGUUCGACUUUUAAACAAUU
This 426-nucleotide ribosomal RNA is filed under the name Proshermacha sp. MYG344. RNAcentral describes it as "partial large subunit ribosomal RNA". It matches the Rfam family "Archaeal large subunit ribosomal RNA", at positions 1926 to 2666 of the family's 2987-position model. The record is from RNAcentral. Lineage: Eukaryota; Metazoa; Arthropoda; Arachnida; Araneae; Anamidae.